GCCUGGGUGGCUCAGUUGGUUAAGCACCUGACUUCGGGUCAGGUCAUGAUCUCACAGUUUGUGGGUUCGAGCCCUGUGUCAGGCU
RNAcentral lists this transfer RNA (85 nucleotides) under Felis catus (domestic cat). It matches the Rfam family "tRNA". Rfam says of the family: Transfer RNA (tRNA) molecules are approximately 80 nucleotides in length. Their secondary structure includes four short double-helical elements and three loops (D, anti-codon, and T loops). Lineage: Eukaryota; Metazoa; Chordata; Mammalia; Carnivora; Felidae. The record is from Rfam by way of RNAcentral.